GAGUCUUCCGCAUGCCUUUGGCUGUGGUACUCUGAAAAUCCUCCCGCUGCCUAUGCUUCAAUGAUUUUUGCAAUGGUUUAGAGAGCAUUCAGUUGCUAUCGACUGGAAAUGCAUAAUCAAAGAGCAUGUGGUUAGUGAGUUAACUUUGCUGGUCUUUUGCUUUCCUAUGAUUGAUGUACUGGUUUAGAGGGCAUUUAAUUGCUGUCGACUGGAAGUGCACAAUCAAUUAUGGUAUAAGCUAAUCAGUUUUUGGUCUUGUUUGUUAAAUAAGCAUUUGCUGAGACACUCCACCCUCUUCUCAAAACGAAUGUGUUGAGCCCAGAGCCAAUAUUCUUUAAUUUUGGGUUAAAUAUUCUUUUAAGAUAAUCUUGUAUUAGACUGCUAUAUUUUCUAAUCAUUUUCUUUCCUAACUCUGUUUUUCAGAAAUGGAGUUUUUUCUAACCAUGGAGCCAAGAACAAGAAGAACAUCAUAAAUUCCAGGGAGCGUAGAAGAGUCCCAAUCUGGUUUUACAUUGGAAGUUUAGUUAGCUAUGACCAUAGAGCUCCUAUGUUUUCAAGACUUUAUUGAAUCUAUACAUCUUGCAAUAGUUGAAAACUUUCUUCGUCAUAAAUCUUAUUGUGGUCAUAAUAUUAUUAUUUUCUUCUAAUCAAGAAGGGGUAUACCCCACCCACCUACCAACUCCCAUACUCUGGAGUUGUUAACAGAUACGUUUUACAGGGGUGCAGUAAUCACCCAUGCCCCAACUCCCAUUCUGUGGGAUAUCGAAAGAAAGGUGGUAAAAUCUACUUAUAUGAAUGGAAUAACCAGUGCGUGGUUAUAGUGGUUUCAUCUUUUCUCCAUGGCAUUGACAGACAUGGCGGUGAGAAUGUGAAAUAAUCUCUGAUUUUGUGCCAGUCUUUAGAGCCCCAGCAUCACAUUGCAGAACAGUCUCUUAACGCUCCCACCUUUGUUUUUCUCUCUUGAAAGGCAUUGUUUUAUUUACAAACUGAUUUGGUUUUUGCUUUGGGAAUUUCAAACAAUAUGAAAAGAAUCGCUGCUACAGUUGAAGGCUGAUAAAGGUUUUAGUAUGUGUGCUUCAAAAAUAUAAGAUAUGCAGUUUUAUCCACAAGGAACCAAGAGCAAGAGACAAACUUCAUUUGACAAAGAAGGUUGAGGAAUUUUGCAAGACUGCAGCAUUCGAUUUGUUCUCAGAAAGUGGUGACAUUUAGGAGGUGCUCAGUUAUCCCACCUACAUGCUUGCAUACUCUCAACUAAUUAAGAAAGCAUGCUACUGAUAUGAAUGGAAUAAUUCAUCCUGGCCCUCAUGACUUCAUUUCUAUUCAAGAUAUUGGCAGAUUUAUUUACUUAUGGGGUGAGGAUCUUUGAUUACGUGUAGGAGAAAGGAGAAAGGAUCAGCUACAAAGGGGCACCUACUAGGCA
Long non-coding RNA from Frankliniella occidentalis (western flower thrips), 1420 nucleotides. RefSeq lists it as uncharacterized. The transcript has 8 exons. Lineage: Eukaryota; Metazoa; Arthropoda; Insecta; Thysanoptera; Thripidae. The record is from RefSeq and is a predicted model, not a curated record.